GACGAACGCUGGCGGCGUGCUUAAUACAUGCAAGUCAACUGAACUUAGGGUAGUAAUACUCUAAGAGAGGUGGCGCACGGGUGAGUAACACGUAGGUAAUCUGCCUUUAGGUCUGACAUAACCUACCGAAAGGUAGGCUAACUUCAGAUGAUGCAGCGGCUCGACAUCGAGACAGUUGUUAAAUCUUCGGAGCCUAAAGAUGAGCCUGCGUCUGAUUAGGAGUUGGCGGAGUAAAAGCCCACCAAGCCUGCGAUCAGUAGCUGGUCUGAGAGGAUGAUCAGCCACACUGGAACUGAGACACGGUCCAGACUCCUACGGGAGGCAGCAGUAAGGAAUAUUGCUCAAUGGCCGAAAGGCUGAAGCAGCAACG
This 370-nucleotide ribosomal RNA is filed under the name uncultured bacterium. RNAcentral describes it as "bacterial SSU rRNA". It matches the Rfam family "Bacterial small subunit ribosomal RNA", at positions 28 to 396 of the family's 1533-position model. The record is from RNAcentral.